RNAcentral lists this ribosomal RNA (1514 nucleotides) under Staphylococcus sp. Bej71. RNAcentral's name for it is "bacterial SSU rRNA". It matches the Rfam family "Bacterial small subunit ribosomal RNA". Lineage: Bacteria; Bacillati; Bacillota; Bacilli; Caryophanales; Staphylococcaceae. The record is from RNAcentral.
UCCUUUGACGUUAGCGGCGGACGGGUGAGUAACACGUGGGUAACCUACCUAUAAGACUGGGAUAACUUCGGGAAACCGGAGCUAAUACCGGAUAAUAUUUCGAACCGCAUGGUUCGAUAGUGAAAGAUGGUUUUGCUAUCACUUAUAGAUGGACCCGCGCCGUAUUAGCUAGUUGGUAAGGUAACGGCUUACCAAGGCGACGAUACGUAGCCGACCUGAGAGGGUGAUCGGCCACACUGGAACUGAGACACGGUCCAGACUCCUACGGGAGGCAGCAGUAGGGAAUCUUCCGCAAUGGGCGAAAGCCUGACGGAGCAACGCCGCGUGAGUGAUGAAGAGUCUUCGGAUCGUAAAACUCUGUUAUUAGGGAAGAACAUACGUGUAAGUAACUAUGCACGUCUUGACGGUACCUAAUCAGAAAGCCACGGCUAACUACGUGCCAGCAGCCGCGGUAAUACGUAGGUGGCAAGCGUUAUCCGGAAUUAUUGGGCGUAAAGCGCGCGUAGGCGGUUUUUUAAGUCUGAUGUGAAAGCCCACGGCUCAACCGUGGAGGGUCAUUGGAAACUGGAAAACUUGAGUGCAGAAGAGGAAAGUGGAAUUCCAUGUGUAGCGGUGAAAUGCGCAGAGAUAUGGAGGAACACCAGUGGCGAAGGCGACUUUCUGGUCUGUAACUGACGCUGAUGUGCGAAAGCGUGGGGAUCAAACAGGAUUAGAUACCCUGGUAGUCCACGCCGUAAACGAUGAGUGCUAAGUGUUAGGGGGUUUCCGCCCCUUAGUGCUGCAGCUAACGCAUUAAGCACUCCGCCUGGGGAGUACGACCGCAAGGUUGAAACUCAAAGGAAUUGACGGGGACCCGCACAAGCGGUGGAGCAUGUGGUUUAAUUCGAAGCAACGCGAAGAACCUUACCAAAUCUUGACAUCCUUUGACAACUCUAGAGAUAGAGCCUUCCCCUUCGGGGGACAAAGUGACAGGUGGUGCAUGGUUGUCGUCAGCUCGUGUCGUGAGAUGUUGGGUUAAGUCCCGCAACGAGCGCAACCCUUAAGCUUAGUUGCCAUCAUUAAGUUGGGCACUCUAAGUUGACUGCCGGUGACAAACCGGAGGAAGGUGGGGAUGACGUCAAAUCAUCAUGCCCCUUAUGAUUUGGGCUACACACGUGCUACAAUGGACAAUACAAAGGGCAGCGAAACCGCGAGGUCAAGCAAAUCCCAUAAAGUUGUUCUCAGUUCGGAUUGUAGUCUGCAACUCGACUACAUGAAGCUGGAAUCGCUAGUAAUCGUAGAUCAGCAUGCUACGGUGAAUACGUUCCCGGGUCUUGUACACACCGCCCGUCACACCACGAGAGUUUGUAACACCCGAAGCCGGUGGAGUAACCAUUUGGAGCUAGCCGUCGAAGGUGGGACAAAUGAUUGGGGUGAAGUCGUAACAAGGUAGCCGUAUCGGAAGGUGGGUGGACCCCCCCCCCUAAUAACCAACGGGGGAGGGGUUUUUGGAAAACGUGGAAAAUUUGAGUGGA